Molecule: RNA transcript, 1464 nt
Organism: Benincasa hispida (wax gourd)
Lineage: Eukaryota; Viridiplantae; Streptophyta; Magnoliopsida; Cucurbitales; Cucurbitaceae
Gene name: tobamovirus multiplication protein 1-like
Source: RefSeq, a predicted model, not a curated record
CAUAUCUCCCCUGAGACCUUUUCAAAGCCGUUGCUUUCACGCGCUCUCAUUCUCUCUUCUUCUCAUUUAUAGAUUAGAGAAGGUUGAAGAACAGAGAGACAGCGAGAGGAAAUGACUUUUGAACUAACUGAAGACUCUUGUUUUCCACCCCUCUUGUUAGGUGUAUACGUGGGUCUUGCUCUUCUUGAUGCCAUUAUUGCAGUCCUUGCAUUUUAUCAGUUAGCAAGGAUUCAAUCAAGAAAUUCGUAUGGUUGGACACGUCAAAAAGUGUUUCAUCUAUUGAUUGGUUCUUCUAAUUUGGGUUGUUUAGCUUAUUUUGUCUUGGCUCUUUUUGCUGCUUGCAAUGGGUGGCUAUGUUGGUCAGGUUCUUGUGGUUUCAUUUUCAUGGCCUUCCCCAAAAUUCUACUUCUGGCUUUGUUUCUUCUUCUUUUGUCAUUCUGGGUUGACCUUUGCCAUCAGCCAGACGACGAAGAUGAAGAGGAUGAAGAGAGGAGUUUUGAGGAAGGCUUGUUGGAGAAGAUCUCUAGUAAACCAAGUACAUCAAAUACAGAUUGGAGCAGGAGAUGGUGGCUUCCAGUUCGGCUGCCACAUGUUGGAAGCCGUCAAAAUUUAGUAAUACUGGUGGUCGGAAUUAUCUUUGUUUUAACAUUGGCAUUUGCUGUGAUACUGUGGCUUGAGAUGGGAAACAAAUCCGUUGAUUCUUUGGUAGUUGUUCAGGUAGUAUAUGUAGAUCUUUUUGCUGUAGUGACACUCUUAUUAGGAGGCGCAUUAGCUUGCUAUGGAUUGCUGUUGUUCUUGAAAAUGAGAAGGGUCAGAUCUGAGAGGGCAUCAUCUGAAAUAUUGAAGGUUGCAGGUUUGGCUGCUGUGUCGGUUGUAUGUUUCACUUCAAGUGCACUUGUAGCUCUUGUAACAAAUAUUCCGGUACCGAAUCAGUGGCAACGACAAUAUCACAUUUAUGGUGCAUAUACUUCUAUUUUGCAGAUUACAUAUUAUUUUAUAGAUUAUUAUGCCAGGAUCAUCAAUUCCUUCGGCAUUUGUUCUCUGGAUCAUGAGAGAAUUACCACCAUGGAUAGCAGCUAGUUCCCAAGAACAAACGAGGACAAUAACCUUCGUUCGUGACGAUUCUGCAGCCAUACAUCGUCCUCGGGAAUGGACUUUGACAACAAAUUCUCCGGUACCAUCAAGGGCUAGUCCCAUAUAAAUGGUGUUGGGAUGCAAGUUUAGUCUUUGCCAGAUUUUAGAAGCGUGCCAGAAUUGUUCGAUUGACAUUGUGAAAGGAAUGUUUUGGUCGUAUUGUAGAUGUUAUUGAAACGGUUGCGAAAUAUGUUCGAUGAGCGGUAUUGAAAAAACCGUAAGGUUGUGCUGGUACCGUGCUGUUCUAUGAUGCUGUAAACAUGUGUAUAUACUUCUCUUGCCUAUUGCUUCAAUCAAAUGUUAAUAGAAUAAGUUGGUAUCUUGAACUAA